Oncorhynchus keta (chum salmon) is the source of this 4756-nucleotide RNA transcript. It is a transcript of the gene named heme oxygenase-like, with no coding region annotated. The record is from RefSeq and is a predicted model, not a curated record. Lineage: Eukaryota; Metazoa; Chordata; Actinopteri; Salmoniformes; Salmonidae. The transcript is spliced from 7 exons.
CAUGGGCCAGAAUCCCUGUGGAACGCUUUCAACACCUUUGUAGAAUUGAGGCUGUUCUGAGGGCGAAAGGGGGUGCAACUCAAUAUUAGAAAGGUGUUCCUAAUAUUUUGAACACUCAGUGUUUAUAACUUUGUUCUCACCUGUAGUCAACAUACUCUCCCUCAAUAGCAGAAGGAACACAUUCACUUCCUGUAGUUCAUGUGACUCUGUGUUUAAUGAUUUCUACCAUUCCAUCUGCUCACUCAUGCUCUCCCCUCACUGGUAAAUCUGCCCUGUCAUGUUAAGCUUCAGGAUAAGGGAACUGAGUCAACACUCACUUCCCAUUUGAUUUAGCUGACAAGCAUUGGGAAAGAAGGAUAGGGAGUCAAAUAUAAAGGCAGGGACACAGCUCAAAGAGGACACAGCAACUCUAAACUUGUUUGAGAAGGAGGCAGCUUUUGUUUACCAGCUGUAUAACAAGAUAUCAACAAGGAAAUACCCCCAGACAUGCAGACAGUCAACUCGGGACAGAAAGUUGAUAUGCAGAAUCCUGGCAGGGAUUUGUCAGAACAGAUAAAAGCAGCGACUAAAGAGAUCCAUGUCAGGGCAGAAAACACCCAACUGAUGCUGAGCUAUCAGAAGGGACAGAUAACUCUUCUGCAGUACAAGCUUCUUCUGUGUUCCCUCUACGAGAUCUACAAAGCACUGGAAGAGGAGAUGGACAGGAAUGCUUCCCACCCAGGUGUCGCACCAAUAUACUUCCCCCAGGAACUGGCCCGACUGGAGAAACUAGAGAGAGAUCUGGAACACUUCUUUGGACAGGAGUGGCAAAAGAGAGUCAUCAUUCCUGCUGCAACACACAGAUAUACACAGAGACUUCGCAAGAUUGGUGAAGGCAAUCCUAAAUUGCUGGUGGCCCACGCCUAUACCCGUUACCUAGGUGACCUGUCAGGAGGACAAGUUUUAGGGAAGAUUACCCAGAAGUCAAUUGGGUUAAGCAGCAGAGAGGGAUUGUCGUUUUUCUCCUUCCCUGGAGUGUCAAGCCCUAACCGCUUCAAGCAGCUGUACAGGAGCAGAAUGAACAGCAUUGAGCUGACCAAAGAGGAGAGGGAGGGGGUGCUGGAGGAGGCUAUAAUGACCUUCGACCUCAACAUCCAGUUCUACAGCUGUACAAUUGAGAGCAUCUUGACUGGCUGCAUCACUGCUUGGUAUGGCAACUGCACUGCCCUUGAUCACAUGGCGCUACAGAAGUUGGUGCGGACAGCCCAGUACGUCACUGAGGCCGAGUUCCCUGCUAUUCAGGACCUCUAUAUCAGGCGGUGUCAAAGGAGGGCCUGGAAAAUCGUUGAAGACUCCAGCCUCCCAAGUCAUAUACAGUUCUCUCUGCUUCUGCACUGCAAGUGGUACCGGUGCAUCAAGUCUGCCAUCAACAGGCUCCUGAACAGGUUCUAUCCCCAAGCCAUAAGACUGCUAAAUAGCUAACUAAAUAGCUACACAGAGUUGACCCUUGUAUUUUAUUUUUGCACUAUCUGUAUGCACACUCCAACAGACACAAACACUCACUCCAUAAUUUGCUCACACACAAAUAAUAUGCACAUACAUUUAUACUGACUCUACACAGACACACUCACAUACUAUCAUCAUACACACUGCCGCUACUCUGUUUAUCAUAUAUCCCUAUGCCUAUCUACCGAUAUCACUCCAGUAUCCAUGCACAUUUUAAAUAUGGUUCUGGAACUGACUGUCCCUGUAUAUAGUAUGCUUUCUCAUGUUUUUGUUCUACUUUAUUUUUAGUAUUACAUUUUUAUUUUAUUACUGCACUGUUGGGUUUAGAGCUUACAAGAAAGGCAUUUUUUCACUGUACUUGUGCACGUGACAUUAAAACUAGCUAAACAUGACUGUGAAGAGGAAGUGAAACUGGGAAGGUCUAGUGAACGAUGCAGUGUAAACACGUUACUGGGUGCCAUCGCAUAUUGCUGAUGAUUGUGUACGUCUUGUUCAAUGAAGACAUCCAGGGUCAUUUCUCGUACAGGUCUUUGAUGAUCUACAGAAAAUGUUAAGUGUCACAAAGGAAGCUUACGGUAGAACUCCAUGCUUCCUGCCUGUCUGUAUGAAAGCAUCCACAGCGUGGUCAAUGUCCUGGUCAGUGUGGGCCGCUGAGAUCUGAACCCGGAUUCUGGCUUUGCCCUUUGGUACCACUGGGUAGGAGAACCCAAUCACAUACACUCCUGUGGGAGACAGAAUAAUGGGUACUUGUUGUAGAUAGACAUAACACUGAAUACUACAGUUCCUCAAGAAAGGGCAGAUUGGAGACCUGAUUCAAAUUAAUAUUUUUUUCCAGCCCUUGUAUUCAAGCAGUGUAGUUUGCAGCUAAUAACCUAUUAGGUCUCUGAUUGUUGUCAGCUCCCAUUUUGUGAGACAAAAUUGUUGAAUACAAAAUAUCAUGAGUAUCUCUGUCUCCCUCUACAGGUUGAUGUGUCCACUCAUUUGUAAUCCCACAGAAAUCGUUUUGAUCAAGGUUUUCAAAAAUAGUUCAGUUCUAUAAAAUGAGUGGACAAAAAAAAUCCUUAGACUAUUUCAAACCAAUAUACAGACUGUGUUGUAAUUCUUGAUAAUGCUUGAAAUGUGCUUGUGCUCCAUUCAUAUUCAGCCUGAACAGUUGCCUCACCUAGUUUCAGCAUGUCAUCAGCCAUCAGAGAGGCUAGUCUGGCAUCCUCCAGCAUCACAGGACAGAUGGGGUGGUCAGAGCCUGAAAUGGUGAACUCAGCCUCGGUCAUUUUGUUUCUGAAGCUACGAGAGGGGGAGUGAAUAAAGACAUUACAGAAAUAGCCAUCGUUCCUUAUACAGUAUCAAUGCCUUCAACUGUCAUGGUUGCCAACUGGGUUCUCUGGGAAACAUGUAGUGCUCUUGAAACUGUAAACAUGUGUGGAAGGACACCAGUGGAGGCUGCUAAGCAGAGGACAGCUCAUAAUAAUGUCUGGAACGGAGCAGUAGUCUAACCUACUGUUCACUAAUACCGCUCCAGCCAUUACCACAAGCCCAUCCUCCCCAAUUAAGGUGCCACCAUCCUCCUAUGAAGGACACAGUACAGAUAGGAGAUGAAACAAGCAAAAGUGUUUCAUGCAGAAUAAACACAAAUCUUGUCACUUUUUCAGCACAUGGGAUUCGUCAAUCUCAAGGUCAUUGUUUCUGUCCAAAAAUUAUGCAGAAAAAUUCAUCCAUGCUUUUGUCACUUCUAGGUUAAACUACUGCAAUGCUCUACUAGAAUCUUGAAAAUAACCCAUUUUUAAAAUCAUAUUACUCCAGUGCUAGCCUCUCUAGACUGGCUUCCUGUUAAGCCAAGGGCUGAUUUCAAGGUUUUACUGCUAACCUACAAAGCAUUACACAGGCUUACUCCUACCUAUCUUUCCGAUUUGGUCCUGCCAUACAUACCUACACGUACGCUACGGUCACAAGACGUAGGCCUCCUUACUGUCCCUAGAAUUUCUAAGCAAAUAGCUGGAGGCAAGGCUUUUUCCUAUAGCGCUCCAUUUUUAUGGAAUGGUCUGCCUACCCAUGUGAGAGACACACAGUCGGUCUCAACCUUUAUAUCUUUAUUGAAGACUCAUCUCUUCAGUAGGUCCUAUGAUUGAGUGUAGUCUGACCCAGGAGUGUGAAGGUGAACAGAAAGUCACUGGAGCAACAAACCGCCCUUGCUGUCUCUGCCUGGCCGGUUCCCCUCUCUCCACUGGGAUUCUCUGCCUCUAACCCUAUUACAGGGGCUGAGUCACUGGCUUACUGGUACUCUUCCAUGCCGUCCCUAGGAGGGGUAUGUCAUUUGAGUGGGUUGAGUCACUGACGUGAUCUGCCUGUCCAGGCUGCCCCCCCCCUCCGCCAUGGCGGAGAUCCUUGUGGGCUAUACUCAGCCUUGUCUCAGGAUAGUAAGUUGGUAGUUGAAGAUAUCCCUCUAGUGUUGUGGGGGCUGUGCUUUGGAAAAGUGGGUGGGGUUAUAUCCUGCCUGUUUGGCCCUGUCCGGGGGUAUCGUCAGAUGGGGCCAGUGUCUCCCGACCCCUCCAAUCUCAACCUCCAGUAUUUAUGCAGCAGAAAUGUGUAUGUCGGGGGGCAUGGGUCAGUCUGUUAUAUCUGGAGUAUUUCUCCUGUCUUAUCCGGUGUCCUAUGUGAAUUUAAGUAUGCUCUCUCUAAUUCUCUCUCAGAGGACCUAAGCCCUAGGACCAUGCCUCAGGACUACCUGGCAUGAUGACUCCUUGUUGUCCCGAGUCCACCUUGCUGUUCUGCUGCUCCAGUUUCAACUAUUCUGCCUGCAGCUUUGGAACUCUGACCUGUUCACCGGACAUACUAUCUGUCCCAGUGAUAGAGGAAAUUAGAGUUGAAAUGAUUAAUUAUGUAUACAUUAUUGAUUAGAACCAUUUAUUCUAAUACUAUUAUGUUAUAUGAAAAGUAUGAGUUUUUGGUUAAGAUGUUACUGAAAAUGUAAGCAGAACGAAUUAAUUGUCUGUGCCUCUUGGGAAGUUUAAGGGGUAGAGAUGCUAUAGCUUUUCAGACAGAUAAGAAAUGUUUGGGUGGUGUUCCAUUAGUGGAGAAAAUUAUAUCUUUUAGACAGUUUGGAAUGUAGUUAUAUGGGGGGAGUAGAGGGAGAGUCCAGACCUAAAAACAAUGGGCUCUUGUGAGAAUCGGAGAGAGGGUGGGAAACUGAUGAUGUCAUUUGCAGUUUAUAACCUGUGGAAAUAUGUGUAUGUGGUUAGUACUCAUCAAGAAUAAAUGCUGAACUUGUUUUUAA